GCCGGGUGUGGUGGUGCAUGCCUGUAAUUCCAGCUACUUAGGAGGCUGAGGCAGGAGAAUCACUUGUACCUGGGAGGCGGAGGUUGCAGUGAGUCAAGAUUGUGCCAUUGCACUCCAGCCUGGGUGACAAAGUGAGACCCUGUCUCUC
Macaca mulatta (Rhesus monkey) is the source of this 148-nucleotide unclassified non-coding RNA. It matches the Rfam family "Metazoan signal recognition particle RNA". From Rfam's summary of the family: The signal recognition particle (SRP) is a universally conserved ribonucleoprotein. It is involved in the co-translational targeting of proteins to membranes. The record is from Ensembl. Lineage: Eukaryota; Metazoa; Chordata; Mammalia; Primates; Cercopithecidae.